GUGCUCACCUUGGCAGCACACGUACUAAAAUUGGUACAACAAAGAGAAGAUUAGGACAGCCCUUACACAAGGAUGACAUGCAAAUUCAUGGAGUAUUCCAUAUUAGG
Small nuclear RNA from Lemur catta (Ring-tailed lemur), 107 nucleotides. Lineage: Eukaryota; Metazoa; Chordata; Mammalia; Primates; Lemuridae. The record is from RefSeq and is a predicted model, not a curated record.